AAUAUUGCACAAUGGAGGAAACUCUUAUGCAGCGACGCCCCGUGAACGACGAAGGCCUUCGGGUCGUAACGAUCUGUUCUUUGGGACGGUAAUGACGGUACCCAGUGCGGAAGCACCGGCUAACUACGUGCCAGCAGCCGCGGUAAUACGUAGGGGGCGGGCGUUGUCCGGAAUUAUUGGGCGUAAAGGGUUCGCAGGCGGUCUUUUAAGUCAGAUGUUAAAUGAAUAGGCUCAACCUAUGAGUGGAUUUGAAACUGGAAGACUUGAGUUAAGGAGAGGAAAGUGGAAUUCCUAGUGUAGCGGUGAAAAGCGUAGAUAUUAGGAGGAAUACCAGUGGCGAAGGCGACUUUCUGGACUUAAACUGACGCUGAGGAACGAAAGCAUGGGGAGCAAACAG
Molecule: ribosomal RNA, 397 nt
Filed under: uncultured bacterium
Lineage: Bacteria
Description: partial 16S ribosomal RNA
Rfam family: Bacterial small subunit ribosomal RNA
Source: RNAcentral